CGGGUGAGUAAGCGUGGAUAACCUGCCUCACACUGGGGGAUAACAGUUAGAAAUGACUGCUAAUACCGCAUGAGCGCACAGUACCGCAUGGUACGGUGUGAAAAACUCCGGUGGUGUGAGAUGGAUCCGCGUCUGAUUAGCCAGUUGGCGGGGUAACGGCCCACCAAAGCGACGAUCAGUAGCCGACCUGAGAGGGUGACCGGCCACAUUGGGACUGAGACACGGCCCAA
Molecule: ribosomal RNA, 230 nt
Filed under: uncultured bacterium
Lineage: Bacteria
Description: partial 16S ribosomal RNA
Rfam family: Bacterial small subunit ribosomal RNA
Source: RNAcentral